GAUGAACGCUGGCGGCGUGCCUAAUACAUGCAAGUCGAGCGAACGGACGAGAAGCUUGCUUCUCUGAUGUUAGCGGCGGACGGGUGAGUAACACGUGGAUAACCUACCUAUAAGACUGGGAUAACUUCGGGAAACCGGAGCUAAUACCGGAUAAUAUUUUGAACCGCAUGGUUCAAAAGUGAAAGACGGUCUUGCUGUCACUUAUAGAUGGAUCCGCGCUGCAUUAGCUAGUUGGUAAGGUAACGGCUUACCAAGGCAACGAUGCAUAGCCGACCUGAGAGGGUGAUCGGCCACACUGGAACUGAGACACGGUCCAGACUCCUACGGGAGGCAGCAGUAGGGAAUCUUCCGCAAUGGGCGAAAGCCUGACGGAGCAACGCCGCGUGAGUGAUGAAGGUCUGCGGAUCGUAAAACUCUGUUAUUAGGGAAGAACAUAUGUGUAAGUAACUGUGCACAUCUUGACGGUACCUAAUCAGAAAGCCACGGCGAACUACGU
This 496-nucleotide ribosomal RNA is filed under the name uncultured bacterium. RNAcentral's name for it is "partial 16S ribosomal RNA". It matches the Rfam family "Bacterial small subunit ribosomal RNA", at positions 28 to 506 of the family's 1533-position model. The record is from RNAcentral.